This 450-nucleotide ribosomal RNA is filed under the name uncultured bacterium. Its description in RNAcentral is "partial 16S ribosomal RNA". It matches the Rfam family "Bacterial small subunit ribosomal RNA", at positions 354 to 796 of the family's 1533-position model. The record is from RNAcentral.
GUGGGGAAUAUUGGACAAUGGGCGAAAGCCUGAUCCAGCCAUGCCGCGUGUGUGAAGAAGGUCUUCGGAUUGUAAAGCACUUUAAGUUGGGAGGAAGGGCAGUAAGUUAAUACCUUGCUGUUUUGACGUUACCGACAGAAUAAGCACCGGCUAACUUCGUGCCAGCAGCCGCGGUAAUACGAAGGGUGCAAGCGUUAAUCGGAAUUACUGGGCGUGAAGCGCGCGUAGGUGGUUUUGUAAGUUGGAGGUGAAAUCCCCGGGCUCAACCUGGGAACUGCCUCCAAAACUGCAUGACUAGAGUACGGUAGAGGGUAGUGGAAUUUCCUGUGUAGCGGUGAAAUGCGUAGAUAUAGGAAGGAACACCAGUGGCGAAGGCGACUACCUGGACUGAUACUGACACUGAGGUGCGAAAGCGUGGGGAGCAAACAGGAUUAGAAACCCGAGUAGUCC